This 253-nucleotide ribosomal RNA is filed under the name uncultured bacterium. RNAcentral describes it as "partial 16S ribosomal RNA". It matches the Rfam family "Bacterial small subunit ribosomal RNA", at positions 524 to 776 of the family's 1533-position model. The record is from RNAcentral.
UACGAAGGGGGCUAGCGUUGCUCGGAAUGACUGGGCGUAAAGGGCGCGUAGGCGGCGCAUUUAGUCAGGCGUGAAAUUCCCGGGCUCAACCCGGGGACGGCGCUUGAUACGGGUGCGCUCGAGGACGGAAGAGGGUCGCGGAAUUCCCAGUGUAGAGGUGGAAUUCGUAGAUAUUGGGAAGAACACCGGUGGCGAAGGCGGCGACCUGGUCCGUUACUGACGCUGAGGCGCGACAGCGUGGGGAGCAAACAGG